UACGUAGGUGGCAAGCGUUGUCCGGAUUUAUUGGGUUUAAAGGGUGCGUAGGCGGUCCUAUAAGUCAGUGCUGAAAUAUCCCGGCUUAACCGGGAGGGUGGCAUUGAUACUGCAGGACUUGAGUAAAGUUGAGGUUGGCGGAAUUGACGGUGUAGCGGUGAAAUGCCUAGAUAUCGUCAAGAACACCUAUUGCGAAGGCAGCUAACUAAGCUUUAACUGACGCUGAGGCACGAAAGUGUGGGGAUCAAACAGG
Molecule: ribosomal RNA, 253 nt
Filed under: uncultured bacterium
Lineage: Bacteria
Description: partial 16S ribosomal RNA
Rfam family: Bacterial small subunit ribosomal RNA
Source: RNAcentral